ACCAAAAUCCUUUAGUGGCACCAAAUCUUGUGUUAAAGGGGGUCAAAUAAGGUAUCUAAGACAAGGUUAUGAUUUGCUGGUUAUGAUUAUGCUAUCUGUAUGCACGUGUCAUUUUUGUAUUUGAAGUUAUAAAUAUUGACUAUGUACUUGUAUCUCAAUGUGUUUGAUUCUAAGUAGCACCAGUGAAGCAUUUGGCCAGCUUAUUGAGAAGGGACUCUUCAGAUUAAGUGCCCAAUCAAGAAACACUUAGCUGACAAUGGACCUUGGGAGACUCCAAUCA
Chelonoidis abingdonii (Abingdon island giant tortoise) is the source of this 280-nucleotide non-coding RNA. Lineage: Eukaryota; Metazoa; Chordata; Testudines; Testudinidae. The record is from RefSeq and is a predicted model, not a curated record.